AGAGUUUGAUCCUGGCUCAGGAUGAACGCUGGCGGCGUGCCUAAUACAUGCAAGUCGAACGCUUUGUGGUUCAACUGAUAUGAAGAGCUUGCUCGGAUUUGACGAUGGACAUUGCAAAGAGUGGCGAACGGGUGAGUAACACGUGGGAAACCUACCUCUUAGCGGGGGAUAACACUUGGAAACAAGUGCUAAUACCGCAUAACAUUAAUAACCGCAUGGUCAUUAAUUAAAAGAUGGUUCUGCUAUCACUAAGAGAUGGUCCCGCGGCGUAUUAGCUAGUUGGUAAGGUAACGGCUUACCAAGGCAAUGAUACAUAGCCGAGUUGAGAGACUGAUCGGCCACAAUGGGACUGAGACACGGCCCAUACUCCUACGGGAGGCAGCAGUAGGGAAUCUUCCACAAUGGACGAAAGUCUGAUGGAGCAACGCCGCGUGUGUGAUGAAGGGUUUCGGCUCGUAAAACACUGUUGUAAGAGAAGAAUGACACUGGGAGUAACUGUUCAGUGUGUGACGGUAUCUUACCAGAAAGGAACGGCUAAAUACGUGCCAGCAGCCGCGGUAAUACGUAUGUUCCAAGCGUUAUCCGGAUUUAUUGGGCGUAAAGCGAGCGCAGACGGUUUGUUUAAGUCUGAAGUGAAAGCCCACAGCUUACCUGUGGAAGUGCUUUGGAAACUGGAUGACUUGAGUGCAGUAGAAGGAGAGUGGAACUCCAUGGUGUAGCGGUGAAAUGCGUAGAUAUAUGGAAGAACACCAGUGGGCGAAGGCGGCUCUCUGGACUGUAACUGACGUUGAGGCUCGAAAGUGUGGGUAGCAAACAGGAUUAGAUACCCUGGUAGUUCACACGUAAACGAUGAGUGCUAGAUGGUUUGAGGAUUGCCGCCCAUAGUGUCGCAGCUAACGCAUAAGCAUCGACUGGGGAGUACGACGGCAAGGUUGGAAC
RNAcentral lists this ribosomal RNA (939 nucleotides) under uncultured bacterium. Its description in RNAcentral is "bacterial SSU rRNA". It matches the Rfam family "Bacterial small subunit ribosomal RNA", at positions 8 to 900 of the family's 1533-position model. The record is from RNAcentral.